UGGGGAAUUUUGGACAAUGGGGGAAACCCUGAUCCAGCCAUCCCGCGUGUGCGAUGAAGGCCUUCGGGUUGUAAAGCACUUUUGGCAGGAAAGAAACGUCAUGGGUUAAUACCCCGUGAAACUGACGGUACCUGCAGAAUAAGCACCGGCUAACUACGUGCCAGCAGCCGCGGUAAUACGUAGGGUGCAAGCGUUAAUCGGAAUUACUGGGCGUAAAGCGUGCGCAGGCGGUUCGGAAAGAAAGAUGUGAAAUCCCAGAGCUCAACUUUGGAACUGCAUUUUUAACUACCGGGCUAGAGUGUGUCAGAGGGAGGGUGAAUUCCGCGUGUAGCAGUGAAAUGCGUAGAUAUGCGGAGGAACACCGAUGGCGAAGGCAGCCUCCUGGGAUAACACUGACGCUCAUGCACGAAAGCGUGGGGAGCAAACAGG
RNAcentral lists this ribosomal RNA (429 nucleotides) under Acidobacteriota bacterium. Its description in RNAcentral is "Acidobacteria bacterium partial 16S ribosomal RNA". It matches the Rfam family "Bacterial small subunit ribosomal RNA", at positions 355 to 776 of the family's 1533-position model. Lineage: Bacteria; Pseudomonadati; Acidobacteriota. The record is from RNAcentral.